Molecule: ribosomal RNA, 483 nt
Filed under: uncultured bacterium
Lineage: Bacteria
Description: partial 16S ribosomal RNA
Rfam family: Bacterial small subunit ribosomal RNA
Source: RNAcentral
AUUGAACGCUGGCGGCAUGCUUUACACAUGCAAGUCGAACGGCAGCGCGGGCUUCGGCCUGGCGGCGAGUGGCGAACGGGUGAGUAAUGCAUCGGAACGUGCCCAGUAGUGGGGGAUAGCCCGGCGAAAGCCGGAUUAAUACCGCAUACGACCUGAGGGUGAAAGCGGGGGACCGAAAGGCCUCGCGCUAUUGGAGCGGCCGAUGUCGGAUUAGCUAGUUGGUGGGGUAAAGGCUUACCAAGGCGACGAUCCGUAGCUGGUCUGAGAGGACGACCAGCCAAAUGGGAACGGGGCAACGGCCAGACUCCCUACGGGAGGCAGAGGGGGGAAUUUUGGACAAUGGGGGCAACCCUGAUCCAGCCAUGCCGCGUGCGGGAAGAAGGCCUUCGGGUUGUAAACCGCUUUUGUUCGGGAAGAAAUCCUCUGGGCUAAUACCCCGGGGGGAUGACGGUACCGGAAGAAUAAGCACCGGCUAACUACGUG